Molecule: ribosomal RNA, 250 nt
Filed under: uncultured Actinomycetes bacterium
Lineage: Bacteria; Bacillati; Actinomycetota; Actinomycetes
Description: uncultured actinobacterium partial 16S ribosomal RNA
Rfam family: Bacterial small subunit ribosomal RNA
Source: RNAcentral
GACGAACGCUGGCGGCGUGCUUAACACAUGCAAGUCGAACGGAAAGGCCCUGCUUUUGUGGGGUGCUCGAGUGGCGAACGGGUGAGUAACACGUGAGUAACCUGCCCUUGACUUUGGGAUAACUUCAGGAUACUGGGGCUAAUACCGGAUAGGAGCUCCUGCUGCAUGGUGGGGGUUGGAAAGUUUCGGCGGUUGGGGAUGGACUCGCGGCUUAUCAGCUUGUUGGUGGGGUAGUGGCUUACCAAGGCUU